RNAcentral lists this ribosomal RNA (497 nucleotides) under uncultured bacterium. Its description in RNAcentral is "partial 16S ribosomal RNA". It matches the Rfam family "Bacterial small subunit ribosomal RNA", at positions 28 to 507 of the family's 1533-position model. The record is from RNAcentral.
GAUGAACGCUGGCGGCGUGCCUAAUACAUGCAAGUCGAGCGAACAGACGAGGAGCUUGCUCCUCUGACGUUAGCGGCGGACGGGUGAGUAACACGUGGAUAACCUACCUAUAAGACUGGGAUAACUUCGGGAAACCGGAGCUAAUACCGGAUAAUAUAUUGAACCGCAUGGUUCAAUAGUGAAAGACGGUUUUGCUGUCACUUAUAGAUGGAUCCGCGCCGCAUUAGCUAGUUGGUAAGGUAACGGCUUACCAAGGCAACGAUGCGUAGCCGACCUGAGAGGGUGAUCGGCCACACUGGAACUGAGACACGGUCCAGACUCCUACGGGAGGCAGCAGUAGGGAAUCUUCCGCAAUGGGCGAAAGCCUGACGGAGCAACGCCGCGUGAGUUAUGAAGGUCUUCGGAUCGUAAAACUCUGUUAUUAGGGAAGAACAAAUGUGUAAGUAACUAUGCACGUCUUGACGGUACCUAAUCAGAAAGCCACGGCUAACUACGUG